GACGAACGCUGGCGGCAGGCCUAACACAUGCAAGUCGAACGAGUGGCGGACGGGUGAGUAAUGUCUGGGAAACUGCCCGAUGGAGGGGGAUAACUACUGGAAACGGUAGCUAAUACCGCAUACCAUCGGAUGUGCCCAGCUGGGAUUAGCUAGUAGGUGGGGUAACGGCUCACCUAGGCGACGAUCCCUCGCUGGUCUGAGAGGAGGACCAGCCACACUGGAACUGAGACACGGUCCAGACGCCUACGGGAGGCAGCAGUGGGGAAUAUUGCACAAUGGGCGCAAGCCUGAUGCAGCCAUGCCGCGUGUAUGAAGAAGGCCUUCGGGUUGUAAAGUACUUUCAGCGAGGAGGCGUUACUCGCAGAAGAAGCACCGGCUAACUCCGUGCCAGCCGCCGCGGUAAUUC
This 406-nucleotide ribosomal RNA is filed under the name uncultured bacterium. RNAcentral describes it as "partial 16S ribosomal RNA". It matches the Rfam family "Bacterial small subunit ribosomal RNA", at positions 28 to 526 of the family's 1533-position model. The record is from RNAcentral.